RNAcentral lists this microRNA precursor (100 nucleotides) under Podarcis lilfordi (Lilford's wall lizard). The record is from RNAcentral. Lineage: Eukaryota; Metazoa; Chordata; Lepidosauria; Squamata; Lacertidae.
CUCCCUCUCUGUGCAGCGCCUCUCCAGCAAAGUGGGAAGAGAAAUGGAGGGGCUCUGUUUCUCCUCCCGCUUUGCUAAAGAGGCGCUGCACAGAGAGGGA